RNAcentral lists this ribosomal RNA (465 nucleotides) under uncultured bacterium. Its description in RNAcentral is "partial 16S ribosomal RNA". It matches the Rfam family "Bacterial small subunit ribosomal RNA", at positions 338 to 795 of the family's 1533-position model. The record is from RNAcentral.
CCUACGUGGUGCUGCAGUGGGGAAUAUUGCGCCAUGGGCGAAAGCCUGACGCAGCGACGCCGCGUGAGGGAUGAAGGUCUUCGGAUCGUAAACCUCUGUCAGCAGGGAAGAACGGUCACUGUGCUAAUCAGCAGUGAAUUGACGGUACCUGCAAAGGAAGCACCGGCUAACUCCGUGCCAGCAGCCGCGGUAAUACGGAGGGUGCGAGCGUUAAUCGGAAUUACUGGGCGUAAAGCGCUCGUAGGCGGUAUGUCAAGUCAAGGGUGAAAUCCCCGCGCUCAACGUGGGAACUGCCUUUGAAACUGGCAAACUGGAGUGUGUGAGAGGAUAGUGGAAGUCCAGGUGUAGGAGUGAAAUCCGUAGAUAUCUGGAGGAACAUCAGUGGCGAAGGCGACUAUCUGGCACAUAACUGACGCUGAGGAGCGAAAGCGUGGGUAGCAAACAGGAUUAGAUACCCCUGUAGUC